GCGCAUUAGCUAGUUGGUGAGGUAACGGCUCACCAAGGCGACGAUGCGUAGCCGACCUGAGAGGGUGAUCGGCCACACUGGGACUGAGACACGGCCCAGACUCCUACGGGAGGCAGCAGUAGGGAAUCUUCCGCAAUGGACGAAAGUCUGACGGAGCAACGCCGCGUGAACGAUGAAGGUCUUCGGAUCGUAAAGUUCUGUUGUUAGGGAAGAACAAGUACCGUGCGAAUAGAGCGGUACCUGACGGUACCUAACGAGGAAGCCCCGGCUAACUACGUGCCAGCAGCCGCGGUAAUACGUAGGGGGCAAGCGUUGUCCGGAAUUAUUGGGCGUAAAGCGCGCGCAGGCGGUUCCUUAAGUCUGAUGUGAAAGCCCACGGCUCAACCGUGGAGGGUCAUUGGAAACUGGGGAACUUGAGGAGGACAGAGGAGAGUGGAAUUCCACGUGUAGCGGUGAAAUGCGUAGAUAUGUGGAGGA
Molecule: ribosomal RNA, 477 nt
Filed under: Halobacillus karajensis
Lineage: Bacteria; Bacillati; Bacillota; Bacilli; Caryophanales; Bacillaceae
Description: bacterial SSU rRNA
Rfam family: Bacterial small subunit ribosomal RNA
Source: RNAcentral